Acanthochromis polyacanthus (spiny chromis) is the source of this 1186-nucleotide long non-coding RNA. RefSeq lists it as uncharacterized. Lineage: Eukaryota; Metazoa; Chordata; Actinopteri; Pomacentridae. The record is from RefSeq and is a predicted model, not a curated record. The transcript has 4 exons.
CCUUAAAAAGCUGAGUACAAGGGAUGACAUGCCUGGGCAUGUUUUGUUUUUCGACCACACCAGACUCGACACGCAGAGGAGCAGAAAGAAACGUCGUUCAUAAAAUUGUGAAACUUUAAGGCUUGAUAAACCAAGAAUUCAGAAGGAUCACCACUGUUGCCCUGGAAACCACAUUUAUGGCAAAGCUGGACCAUUACUCUCCGAAAUUGAUGUCCUUGCUGUUCUCAAGGGGGGGGGGGGGACUGCAAAAACGAAGAUUCAGCGCAUCCGUAACAUGCUGCUAGAGGAUGAGUCUGUGGAGACAAGGAGAGAGGCUGCUAUCCGUGGCUUGGUGGUGUACCUUAGGGAAAAGGAGGAGGAUCUCUUCAGAGAACAGGAUGGUGACGAGGACAUUACAAACGAUGUAAUGAAGAUUGUGGUAACCAGAGGUGCCAUGGUGUCUAAUCCAGCCACCGCAACAAUAAUUCUUGAGGGAACAGAAGUCCUGGCGGACCUGGAUGUACCCAGGGCCUGUGCCUUGCUCAUGGGGCUGAUAUACGCUCUUAAUCUCAGCUACCCAAAAGAACUGAAAAAUACCUUUGAAGUGUUUCAAAAGAUAUUCCUCGAGCUGGAUGAUCUCAAAGCAAGCCCAAAGGUAAUGUCACUGAAAAGUAAACUGCUGUUCUAAAAUAAAUGUGAAGGGUGAAGUUAUCCAUCAAAGAGUUGUUUGCAAAGUUGAAUGUUGUUUACAGUACCUUGUGUUACAUACCCUACAGAAGGAGUAAAGCUAAGUUCAUUGAGCUUAAAAUGCAUGUAGCUUAAAAUAGUGCACUUUUUGCAAGUUUGGCACAAAAAUGCAAGUGACUUUGUUAUCAUUUAUUUUGUUUUUUUUUUAUUUGGGUUAUAUGACAUUUUCAAAAUGAGUGUAGUACACACAGAAAACAGUGUUCAGCUCGCUUCACCUAUGGAGAAGCAGAAGCAAAAGUCUUUUUGAGUUUACUUUUUUUUUUUUUUUACACUUUUUUAUGUGUUAUUUUUCAAUAAACAUAUUGCAAGUUUGGCACAAAAAUGCAAGUAACUUUGUUAUAAUUUAUUUUGUUUUGUUUUUUAUUUGGGUUGUAUGACAUUUUCAAAAUGAGUAUUACACACAGAAAUAUGUGUUAUAUGUGUUAUGUGUUAUUUUUCAAUAAACAUAUUGAUUAUAUAA